RNAcentral lists this small RNA (155 nucleotides) under Chelonoidis abingdonii (Abingdon island giant tortoise). Its description in RNAcentral is "TUC338 (ENSCABG00000022156.1)". Lineage: Eukaryota; Metazoa; Chordata; Testudines; Testudinidae. The record is from RNAcentral.
UAGACAAACCUGGGGAAUAAAGUUCUCCUCACUGAACAGGCACAGCAUGAGCAGUGGCAGUGUAAGCUUCUCCACUGUAGCUCACCACACACCAAUCUUGACUUGGAGGAUGAGAUAGUAUUUCAUUUUCCACAAUUCUUCAUCCCAUGACUGAG